This is a long non-coding RNA of Antechinus flavipes (yellow-footed antechinus), 6869 nucleotides long. RefSeq lists it as uncharacterized. The transcript has 3 exons. The record is from RefSeq and is a predicted model, not a curated record. Lineage: Eukaryota; Metazoa; Chordata; Mammalia; Dasyuromorphia; Dasyuridae.
GAGUUCAAAUUUGCCCUCAGGCACUUAGUUGUGUGACUCUAGGCCUGUCAAAUAACCUGCCUCAGUUUCCUCAUCUGUAAAAUGAGCUGGAGAAGGAAAUGACAAACUAUUCUAAGAUCUUUGCCAAGAAAACUCCAAAUGGAAUCACAAGGAGUUGCACGGGACUGAAAUGACUCAACAAUACUACCAGCCAAUCCUGAAUUAGGAACCUGAAAAGGUCUGCUCUUUUAAAUUUCAACAUUUCUCAAAUAUUCUACCGCCUGCAACUAUGGUACAAAAAGCAACAGCCUGUAUCUUCCAAAUCUAUUCUAGAUUGGAAAACCUCCUCAGUUUCUAGUUUCCAGAAAUUCCCCUGUUUUAUGUGCUUGCCCUAAGAUCAGCUGUAUUCUCACUUCAUCAUUACUGCUCUUAAGUCUGGAAUUUUUUCUCUCUCUCUUCAUGACCACCAGCUCCUGUCUUUUCUCAAGCCCCAGCUAACAGCCCCCUUCAAUUCCCUUUAAUUCUAGUGUUUUUCCUCUGAUGAUUAUCUCCAAUUUAUCCUAAAUAUAGCUCCUGUUUAUACAUAAUUGUUUUCUCUUACAUAAGUGUUGUCUCUUUCAUUAGAUUGUAAACUCCUGUUUCUAAGAGUAAGGAAGGACUGUCUUUUGCCUUUCUUUGCAUCCCCAGGACCUAGAACAUAGUAGGCACUUAAUAAAUUAUUACUGACUGACUGCCCUCACAGCUGGAACCCCCAAAAUAUUAUCUGGAAAUAGGCUUAGUUAAGAUUUAACAACCAGUGAUUCCUGGAACCAAAAAACAAAACAAAACUCAGGAAAGGGAGGGGAGCAGGGAGGAACUUUCAACUGUAUUAGGGAAGGUCUGAUUGUAUCUUUUCUUCUGGUUAUAUAAACGGCUGGUUAUCUUUAAAAAAAAAAAAUGACCUUCUCCUGUGAACCAUAUCUCUCACACCUGUGCUAAAGUUAAGGCAGUCAAGGAUAAAGAUUGAAAGCAUAAGAAUGAAGUCUACCUUGAGGGAGUAGUCCAUAUGCCAGAGAACUGUGGCUAUCUGAUGGGGAGGAUUAGGAGACUAGAAUUACCUGUUCCAAUAACCUAAUCAAUACGGCUUCUGAGACCCGAUGACAGCACCAGCCUUUCCUGAUAACACUUCUUCAUUAAAAAUACUUUGAAGUCCAGUUAGGUGCUUCCAAAGAACUCAAAGCACUCUAUUAAAAAUAUCUGAGAGAUUACAACAAUGUAACUGGAUGUAACUACAGAAAGUAAAACAAAAGGAAUGAGUACUGGAAAAUCAUAAUGACCAAGUCUGGUCAUAAAGCAGAAUGGGGGGAAAAAACAAAAAAUAGAAAUAAAAAUUUAUUUUGGAAAAAAUAGCUCACUCGUACUCAUACAUAGCACUUAGCCCAGUGCCUUAAAAGUCAAUCUCUGUGUGUGGCACAUAUUUAUAAUCCCUGCUGGAGAGGCCGGGGAAUCUCUUGAGCUCAAAAGUUCAGAGUUACAGACCAGUAUAAUUGGUUAUCUGUAGUAAAUUCAGCAUUAACUUCAACACUCAUGUCUCAGUUUCAGGCAUGUUGUCCCUUUUCUCAAACCCUUCUCAGGGUAUCCAAUUCAAACCACCCUCCUUCUCCUGCCACAUAUCCCAAUCUAUGAUCAACGCAGGAGAAAUUGGGCAGAGCUGAAACUGAAAACUACUCUCAGAAAAGUUUGAACUGUGGCCUGGAGGCAACUAGCAGAACGAACAAUAUCUGUCAAGAGUGUUUCUUGGAAGGAUGGAGUGCCAGAAAGAAGUCUGAUCACCCUAACAGGGUCAGAGCUUUAAAAAGAAUGAGAUCUGAAGGAUUAAGAUUUGGGAUUUUUACCAAAUUCUCUGAAACAUCCAAGGAAAGUCACAGUGAUAGCCCGAACUGAGCCAACCACAAUCUCUUGCCCAGAGCCUCUUGUGACCAACAGCGUGCCUCUACAAGAAGACUGGCUAGAAUUCAAGUUUCUGUCUUUGUCCAUGGAACAGAGCUUUUUCUCUGUGUGAAGCUAAACUAGACCAUAUGGAGACUGAACCAAUGGCCCUGACCUCGCUGGCCAAACAGGUAACCACCUGAAACAAAGCAAUAAAGUCCAUUGAUCUAGCUAAGAGAAAUUAACACCAAAUUUAAUAGCACUAAAAAAAAAUAAAUCAAAUAUUUAUUAAGUGCCUACUAUGUGUGCUAAGUGCUAGAGAAAUGCAAUAAUGUACCCUCUCAAAACUCCAAAUAGAUUUUACCUAAUUCUGUGAUGGUUCCUUGGUUAAUGAGAAAAUUCACAUUUGACCACCCAGUCAUUCAGUCAUUUCAUUCAUUCAGUCAACAAACAUUUAUUAAGUGUACCACACUAGAUGCUUGGAUAAAUAAAACACAAAGGCCUUAGAGGAUGGGACCAACAAGAUACAACCAGCCAACAAGAAUUGAUUUGACCUUGGAGGUGAAGGUGGGGGGCUAGGGUACAAAAGAUGUUUAAGAUACAAUCCCAAUUCUCCAAGUAUUUGCACAUCUGAGGAAAUAAAACAGACCCUUAAAACAAACAUAAUAAUAGAAGGCUGUGCAUAAAAUGUGGGUUUAAACAAAAUCCCACUUUCUUUUUGUUAACAGCCUUUAGAAGAACGUGAUUUGUGUCAAUUUUACUGACUCAACUGGGUAUUUCAAAUGGGAUCAAGAAAAGUACUGAUCUAGUUCUACUUGCAGAGACACCACACAAGGAGUCACCCUGCAAGGCGGCCCACAAAGAACGGGGGACUCCCUGCAUCAUCAGCUGGGGCUAUGAUUUGAAUGAGCUGUUCAGGCAACUCCAGCUUUUCAGGCAGAGCAAGGAUGCUCAGACCUGGCUUCCAGAACGCCAAGUGGCCAUUACAUUGCUUUGGUGAUUCACUAAGUAGUACAGGAUGUGCCCAAUUACAGGCUGUAUUUUUCCAAUCCUGUUUCAUAAACUCCAAUUGCACAAGGGCAGAGAUUCUCCAUUAAAACGAAUUCGUAUAAGGACAUCCUCAGACUUCAGCAAAAUAAAUACACUCUGACCAGCCCAAUAUCGUUCUGGCUGGGUCCCCAAGUGACCAUAGAAAGCCACACCAGUGGCAGUGAGAAAGCAUCACUCCCUAGUCAUCAGGAAGGAGUUCCUAUCCUAUAUAAGGCAACUUGUGUCAAAAGGCUUUUUUUUUUUUUUAAUUUUGGGGGGAGGGAACAUUAAUUUUUCUUUGCCCUACCCUAACCCCAGAUUAAAAACACUGUUCCAAACUUUUAAUAAACUGCCAACAGCAGCUGCUUCAAGAUCAGGAAGAAAAAAGUAAAACUGAAUUGUUAUUACUAAAAACAAACUAUUAGUUCUUUCCAAGAUAAAUAAUUACUUAGUGUUCCCAUAAUCAGCCUCAGAAGUGUGGCUUAGAACACAAAUUGUUUUAGCAGCACCAGAGAGAUAAAAAAGAGCAGAUAAAGGGUUGGAUUUGGGGGAAGGGAGAGAAAACUUUUACCUCAGACUUCCUAAAAACUUUCUAUUUAAUACUUUUUCUCUUUCAAAACAUCAAGCAAUCUGUCUCUCUCUCUCAGGGGCAGUUGGUGAUUUAGAUGGGAAGCUAAACCUAAGGUCACAAAGUCCUAAAUUCAAAGCUGAUUUUAGAUGCAUGACCCUGGUUCAGUCACUUAAACCUUGAUUUCCACAACUCUAAAAUGGGGAUAACAAAUAGAACCAACUACUCUUGUAAGGCUAAAAGGAGAUAUUCUUUGUAAAAAGCUCUUAGCACUUAAUAAGCACCACAUAAAUGUUUAUUCCUUCCCUGCUGUUUGUUUUAGGAAGAAGUUGAACCAUCAAGAAACUAAAAGAUUGUUAUAUAUUUCACGUUUGCAUAAGAAAAUAAGGCUUUUGCUUUAAAAGAAAAAAAUGGGGAAUUCUAUACAGAGUAGACUCCAACACAAGUUUGUCAAUAACCUGUAUUUACUGGAUUACAGAAUGCAAAUAGGCAAGACAGGUCAGUUUUCUGGUCUUGAAAAAUGUCAAGACACAAGAGAGUCAAAGUCACAUCCAGGUCACCAAAUGUACCUUUUGCCAAUUAGCAUUAUUUAACUGCUGAGAAUAAUUUUUGUAGCUGCCAGCCUCAAUCAACCUUCCCUCUCUUGCUCAGGUCCCACCCCAAUCUACAUCAUGUCUUUCUCCUGGAUGCUGCACAAACCCCAGGGUGGGCGGUGCCAUGGGUCUGUCAUUUGUCAAGCUCUGCAACCAAGCUUAAAUGAGACUAAAGAGUAAGACAAGCCAAAUUAAAACUCUUAAGGUCAUUAAUCACACCCCCGUGACUUCAGAUAAGGUAGUGAAACAUAUGCUUAAACAGGGCUGGUAUUUAGCUUUAAUCAGAGACACAGAGUUUGGAAAACAGCAAAGCUGCCCAAACGAGACAUUCUUGUCAAAAUUCCCUUUAAAAUAAAAAUUUCCCCCCCUAAAAUAACAACAAAAACCAGCUUUAUGACUGUGAACACAAACAGGCAGAUGGUCACUCAGGAAAUGAGGUUCAUGAUGGUGUUCCCUCCUGCAGUUAGCUAAGAAUAGGAAUAAUAAGGGUUGACAUUCACAGGGGACACUCACAGGUUUGUGAAGUGAUGUGAUGUACUUUCUCAUUUCAUAACAACCCUGGGGGAAGGCAGGUAGGUACUAUUAUUAUCCCCAUUUUAUAGAUGAGGAAGUUGAGGCUUAGAAGUAAACCCAGUGGCUCAUAGUCACAAAAUUAAUAAGUAUCAGCAAAGGCCAAAAAUCAAAUCCAGGUCUUCCCAGACUGUCUUUAAAAAAAAAAAAAAAAAAAAAAAAAAAAAAAAAAAAAACCCAAAACCAGAAACAACAACAACAAAAAGAAGAGCAGAUUCCAUUUCUAGCUUAUUAUUAUUAAGCACUGAACAGUGGAAACCACAAGGUCCAUAAAAAGUUUCUUUCCAAAAAGAAAAUUACCUAGAAUAGAGCUGAAAUAUCUAGAAUAGGCUUAAGCUGUCUGGAAUAGAUUGGGGUGUCUAGAAUAGGCUUAUUUGGCACUUCUGGGGAGCAGUGAAGAAGAGCAAUGAAUAGCAACCCUCAUGCACCUAGUGGGUGCCUAAUAAAUCCUAAUUGGCUGACUGACAAAGACAGGCUGGUAACAGCAAUUAUUCAAAUCAUGACUGGAGGAAAUUCAGGUGUCUCUUGAAAAUUGCAAAAGCCCUGAGUCAGAAAGAAUUGUACCUUGUCUGUGGUGCACAGGUGGAAUAUUAUCUGCCAUUGUUCCAUAAUUAAACAAAUUCCAGGUGGCUCUUCCCUUCCCACUUCCAUCAAAACUAUAUCUAAUAAUGCUAACAAGUGCUAGGUUAUUAAAUAUUAUUGAUAUAAUAUUAAUAUCAUAUUCAUAGAAGCCACUAUUUUGUGGCCUUAAAAAAAAACCUAGUCAAGUUCGAAAACAAAUCAGGUUCAUUUUAAAUCAUCAACUAUAUUCAUACAAAUACUUCAUACAGUGAUGGGAGAAAAAUAUUCUUCUCUCCAGAGAUCUAGACCAUUUUAGCAAAUGGAUUACUUACUAUUAGGUUGGUACUUUCCAAUCUCUAUUCCCUGUAUCUGAAAUGUCCUCUUAUCAUACCUCUAAAGGUUGGAAUUCUUGUCCAUCAGUAAAGUCCAACCCAAAUGCCAGCUCCCAGAGGAAGCUUUCCUUGAUUCCUUGUUCCCUAAUUGGUAAUGACAUUUUUCUUCUUCUGAUCUGAAAUAACUCUUUGUUUUUCAUGCAUUAUGUAUAUUUUGAUUAUAUCUUAUACAUAUGUAUAAUUUAUGUUAUUUUAUAUUACAAUUAUCUAUGCAUGUGUAUAUGUCUUAGAUUCUUACUAGAGUGCACAAGAAGGCAAGACUGCUAAAUUCUGUACCUGCAACAAUUCUCUGCAUAGAAUAGGUGCUUAAUAAUUAUUUAUAAAACUAAACUAAGGUAAAUUAAACUGGUGGGCAGAGAAAUGUAAACAGAAAUCCCCUCACCCCCCCUCAAAAAAAAAGCCAACGACAGGUCUCAGUCCUAAUAUAUUUUUAGCUGACACUUUAUAUUUUCCUUUAUAAAUGUAAUAUCCUAUUUGUUAUAGAAUCACUGUCUUUCUUUUCUGAAACAUUUAUCUUCUUCCUCAAUCAGUUCAGACACUGGGGAAGUAGAGUUCCACCAAGGAGGCAGAGGGUUCCAGCCACCUGACUGUUAUUUGCAGAGACUUAAAAAGAGUAAAUCUCCUCCCCUGUUAACGCUAAUGAGCUUCUGGUGGCUAGAGCGCCCUGUGAUUAGCUUACUCUGGCUAUUUCUAUUCCAAAUACCCAGAAAAUCUGAGCCCAAAUGGGACAGAAUUUUUUUUUUUUAAAGAUCUCAACCUCUGCACCUUUCAUUUUUAUAUCUUGUAAAGAUGCAGUCAAUAUGACUGGAAGUUGAAGCAAUAAAGAGAAUACUGGGUUUGUAGUCAGGAAAACUGGAAUUCAAAUCUAGUCUCAUUUACUUCCCAGCUGUAUGAUCCUGGGCAAGUCACUUAAUCUUAAUUUCCUCAGGUAUAAAAAGGGAAUUAUAAUAGCACCUAUCUUAGAUGAUCAAAUGAGUAACAUUUGUAAAGUAUUUGGCACAGUGACUAGCAUACAAUAAAUGCCAAAUAAAUGGUUCUUUCCUUUCUUCCUUCUGCAGAGAUGGAAGAUUGUAGAUAUGCAAUGAUAUUAGGUAUACAGUCACAUUCAGGUGACAUGUGAUUUAGUUCUUCUCCCCUCUCCCCCUUUUUAUUCUUUGUUACAAGAGGAUGGAGGAGGAUUUUUUAUUAGAAAAUCAAAGUUAUGUAAAAACAAAAGCUAUUAGUAAAAUUUUUCAAAACCACACAUUCAAUAAUAAAAUAUAUAUUUAU